Etheostoma spectabile (orangethroat darter) is the source of this 920-nucleotide long non-coding RNA. RefSeq lists it as uncharacterized. The record is from RefSeq and is a predicted model, not a curated record. The transcript has 3 exons. NCBI's taxonomy places the organism in Eukaryota, Metazoa, Chordata, Actinopteri, Perciformes, Percidae.
GUAGGAUGUCGCUCCUGUUGUUCACCAGGUCCAGGGCCAUCUGGGCGGAGGGCAUACACGCCUGACCGCCGGGCCAGCCUCCGCUCAUGGGGAACAGCGCUCCGAUGUACAGCUUCUUCUUGCCUGCGGACGGCCGUGGCCAGAGGAGGAGAAGCGCGAUGAGAGAUGCCCGAAAGAGGAACAUCGCAUGCCCGCGGGCUGCGCGAGUUACCCGCGGAGGACUUCUGCAAAUCACCAGCAUGGUUCAAGGAUGAAGCCGGCAUGGCAGCUGUAAUGGAGCACUGUCCCCUCCACUGGUGGCCCGGGGGGCUUUACCGUCACCCGGCCGUUCUCCAGGGAGGUCCACACCCGCGGGCACAGCAGCACUGGGAACGAGAAGAAGCACAAAAGGCCGUGAGCACCCACGGAGGAAAAUAUAAGUGAGAUUGACCCUUGGAUGUCUGAGGGAGCGGGUGAACACCGAUUGUCAUUCCAGAGGUGUUUUGUACUGUGUAGGUGUAACGUUAGGCUGGAUCUGUUUUUUAAAUAAACAUUCAUGUUGAAAUAAAUAUACCUUUAGUUAUGUCUCCUGUUGUAUCGGAUGGGUCUAUUUGAAUAUAUUCAAACCUGUAUUUUUUUGGGAUAUCAAGUGUCAAUUUUGGCCGAUUUUGACAUCCCUAACUAUUUAAAAGCUGCGAGUAACUUCUUUGUCUGAGGUCAUAAGUUACGUUUAUCAUUGUGACAUAUGUCCAGGACAAGUAAGAAUCAGAUUUCCCAUUUUAAACCCAUCCUAUCAGGAGCGGUAGGCAGCCACUGUUACUCAAGUACUACAACACAGACACAAUAAAGAAAGUCUACUGCUCUAGGAACCCCUUUUGACAAAUAGUUUAGUAUUCAGUUACUGGUAAGCAAGGCUACACUUUAUCCCACAUUUGUGAUAA